AAUAACCCUUUUUAGAUACAGCUAAUUAAUUAACAACAAUCUUCAUCACAGGGAACUUUACCUUAAAAUAGUCCAAGUAUUAUUACUGUUAAUCAUUUAAUACUCCUCCAAUGAAGGCUGGACCCCACAAGUUGCUGCAGGACAUUCAUCAUCCACAGUUGAACCCCAAACUACACCUCAACUGGCUCCACCAACAACACAGGUUGCCGUUCCCUGGCCUCAUCCCCCUGCAGCUCCAGCUACACCUCAACGGGCCCCACCAACAACACAGGUUGCUGUUGCCGUUGCCCAGCCUCAUCCCCCUGCAGCUCCACCUACACCCCCGAAGUCCUUGAUUUUAUCAGAAAGGUGACAGUGUUGAAGGAGGCUGUCCAGCUCCCAGUAGAGUGGUGUCACGUAAAAGAAAAGGGCCAAAAAAUGAAGCAGGUCGAGUGGGAGCCAUGCAAACUCUGUGGAAAGAAGUGGCCAUUGGAGUGGGUGGCGCAUGACAACACUUGUUAGUGCUUCCAUUGUAGGUGCAAUUUGUGUGCGGAGAUCUGCUAUGACUCGUCGAGUUUGCCGUUAGGCGCAGCGAUCAGGGUUGGGGAUGUGACGAGUGGGAGGAGUGAGGGAGGAGCCAUCAACGCUACUUACACUCUACAUUAUGUUACACACUUUUACUGGCAAUCACAUCAAAGCCACGCCCUAAAACACCCCCUGCUUUAUCGCUGAUUUAAAAAUCGAGACCAUAAUUCAAAAAAUGAAUAUCAUUCUGUGUUGCAGAAGACUUAAAACUAGCGAUUGAGACCAUAAACUCAUUAUGAAAAUGUUAACUGAGGUCAUGAAUCAAGUUAGAAGUGGCUGACAGGUUUAAGACACUAACGCAUUUGCAGCACUUCUCUGAAACGGAUGGUUUUUACAUUAAUAUUUACAGUCAGUGUUCGAGUGUCAUAUAUCCAUUUCUGUUUUGCGUCUGUGUUAAUAUUGUAAUAACUUGUAAUGCAUGUACUUUUUUGUGUGUUUGUUUAUUAUUGUCACUCUAAGCUAAGGUUGCA
This is a long non-coding RNA of Perca fluviatilis (European perch), 1034 nucleotides long. RefSeq lists it as uncharacterized. The transcript is spliced from 4 exons. NCBI's taxonomy places the organism in Eukaryota, Metazoa, Chordata, Actinopteri, Perciformes, Percidae. The record is from RefSeq and is a predicted model, not a curated record.